Molecule: ribosomal RNA, 1024 nt
Filed under: Proteus mirabilis
Lineage: Bacteria; Pseudomonadati; Pseudomonadota; Gammaproteobacteria; Enterobacterales; Morganellaceae
Description: partial 23S ribosomal RNA
Rfam family: Bacterial large subunit ribosomal RNA
Source: RNAcentral
CCUGAUCGAAGCCCCAGUAAACGGCGGCCGUAACUAUAACGGUCCUAAGGUAGCGAAAUUCCUUGUCGGGUAAGUUCCGACCUGCACGAAUGGCGUAAUGAUGGCCAGGCUGUCUCCACCCGAGACUCAGUGAAAUUGAACUCGCUGUGAAGAUGCAGUGUACCCGCGGCAAGACGGAAAGACCCCGUGAACCUUUACUAUAGCUUGACACUGAACAUUGAGCCUUGAUGUGUAGGAUAGGUGGGAGGCUUUGAAGUGUGGACGCCAGUCUGCAUGGAGCCAACCUUGAAAUACCACCCUUUAACGUUUGAUGUUCUAACCUAGGCCCAUAAACUGGGUCGGGGACCGUGUCUGGUGGGUAGUUUGACUGGGGCGGUCUCCUCCUAAAGAGUAACGGAGGAGCACGAAGGUUGGCUAAGCAUGGUCGGACAUCAUGCGGUUAGUGCAAAGGCAUAAGCCAGCUUGACUGCGAGAGUGACGGCUCGAGCAGGUACGAAAGUAGGUCUUAGUGAUCCGGUGGUUCUGAAUGGAAGGGCCAUCGCUCAACGGAUAAAAGGUACUCCGGGGAUAACAGGCUGAUACCGCCCAAGAGUUCAUAUCGACGGCGGUGUUUGGCACCUCGAUGUCGGCUCAUCACAUCCUGGGGCUGAAGUAGGUCCCAAGGGUAUGGCUGUUCGCCAUUUAAAGUGGUACGCGAGCUGGGUUUAGAACGUCGUGAGACAGUUCGGUCCCUAUCUGCCGUGGGCGUUGGAAGAUUGAGAGGGGUUGCUCCUAGUACGAGAGGACCGGAGUGAACGCACCACUGGUGUUCGGGUUGUCAUGCCAAUGGCAUUGCCCGGUAGCUAAGUGCGGAAGAGAUAACCGCUGAAAGCAUCUAAGCGGGAAACUUGCCUCGAGAUGAGUCUUCCCUGUCGCUUUAAGCGACCUAAAGGAACGUUUAAGACUAAGACGUUGAUAGGCUGGGUGUGUAAGCGUAGCGAUACGUUGAGCUAACCAGUACUAAUGAACCGUGAGGCUUAACCUG